UCCUGUCUGAAUACCCUGGAUCACAAAGAAUAGUGGUCCACAGAUCCACCCACUGCUCUGAAUCCUUUACCAGGGGUUGUGGACAUGGUACUAGAGAGAAACUGUGCAUACAAAGACAUCCAAACAUGUAAUAGGCACAGAUUCCAGCAGCAGCAUCCAAGGCUGCUUGUGUUCUGGGAGCUGGUCUCUCUCUCCCAGGCCAUUAAGCAAGAGUCAUGACUGAGCUGCUGGACUGGGACGAGAGAUGAGCCGUUGUCCCUCACGAGCACAGAGAUAGAUUAGCUGCCAGCUCUCACUUGCCCUUCCCACACGCACAGAAAAGCAGAAUAACCUGCUGGUAACUCGCAUUGUCCCAGCACCAUUUUUGGCUGCUGUCUCAACUUAUGUCCUAAACAUCCUUUCUGUACUCCUGUGACAAUCAUUCACCAUAGUAACGAGAAAGUCAAGAAGCACAAAAGCUGCUGAUAGAACUGCACACAACCAUGAUGGAGCAAGCACCAUUUAGGCAAGUUCACUGUACUACUGCGGAGCCACAGAUCUUCUCUUGACAGUGCUAGAUUGGGAACACUAAAAAUCCGUGAAGAAGAAAGAAAUCCUUGCUCCAAAAAGAGAAGCUCAGAACUAGGUCGUGUGCCCUCCCCAAAGAGCCAGAUGACAUCGGGCUGGGUUUGCUCUCUGCCGCUCCAGAACACAGAACCAGAACCAAACUGGGGAGCCUGCAUCAACCCUGCUAGCUUCUUCCACGCUGAAACUCUGGUAAAAGCAAGGAAAUAUGCCUGGUUUGCUCUGGUCUGAAGCCUUUUAUGAAAAGGAAUGGGACUAUGGCUAGGCAAAGUCUCUUGUUUUCCCCUGGUGAAACAUUUCAUGAAUGUUCUCAUGGUUAUUCCGAUGCUUGUGGAUAUUUCGUUUCUUUUUUCCUCCUGCUACUGAGAUAUUGGAUUGAACCUUACACCAAAUACAAGCACUUUCACCAAAAAGAAACAAACAGACAGAUUUUAAGAACCUGCUAUUUCUUCCUGUUCGAGAGCCUCAGAAACUCACCUACACUGAGAUGACAGAUGCCACUUGUCAUCGGUAGUCUGGCCACUCCAAGCAGGUCUAAUCAGGGUCAUAGAAACACGAGUGCCCUCAUUAGAGGUGACACUUUUGCAGUACCAACGCUGCUGCACCAGCAGUAAUGAUGAAAGAUUCACUGUGCCAUCAGGUAGAAGAAGCACCCACGUGGAGCCUCACCAUGAUUUCCCUGUUACUCACCUGCAGCUUUACUCAGCUGCAUCCCACCCCUCUCUGGUACCUCUCCUUGCUGAAUCGCAUUUGGGAAACCUCUGCCAGCUCGUGCAGGAGGCUGGUGAGCAGGGAAAUGCUGGCCUGAUCCAUCUUCAGCCUGGGAAGUGCAGAAAAAGCUUUGCUUUGUAUUAUGUAUGGCACUUGGAAACACAAUGGGCUGCUUUGCUCCAUGGUCUCCUGUGCUCCAUCCUCUGGAGGGCCCGCACACCUCAUCCUGUGCAGUCAUCCCUGGGAUGGAGGAGGGUGGCAGUGUCAGCAUGAGAGGGCUGCGCCUUUCCAAAACAAAGCCUUCAAUACUGAACCUUAUACCCAAGCCAUUCAGCUCUUGGCAGGUGCUUUCAGAUGCUUGUGGCUCCAUGGAGCUGCCACAUCACGUAGAGACCCUCCGGGUGAGCCGAACUGGGAUCUCACAUCGCACCAACCCGCCUCUGGGACAUGCAGCCUUUUCCCAGGAGCUUCAGGCAUCCCAUGUUCAUCCCGCAUCACCUCACUGAAGAAAUGAAACUACCUGCGCCAAGGUAAAAAUAAUUGCUGAUACUAAGCCUCAAGUUGGUGAUUCUCUGCUCAGCUGGCAUUAUAAUCUUCCAUGACAAAUGUUAAUUUCCCUUUAAAAUUAAGGAGAGGAAAGGCAAACAGCAACUAAACCUGAGAACAGGUAAACAACUGGCUACUCAAUUUAGCACAGCAGAUACUGGGAGGAUAAUUUCUCCCUUGAACAACACUGCUCAGAAAAUGCUAGGAAAUCUUAUGUUAGCCCUUCACUCAGUCUGUUGUGUUGUGUGUUUUUUUUUUUUUUUUUCCCUCUCCAGCAGCAGCAUGAGUUAAGGGUGAAGCAUUAGCCCUCACUGCAAUACCCCCACUGUCAGCUUAAGUCAGAUUCUUCCUGUUAUUUAUAUGUACCCUUUUGUAAGCGUAUCGAUUACACAAGUGAGUUCUCAAGUACUCAGGCACUCAAUACAGCCACACAAUGGAGAAAAGCAUCCAGGUUAACACAGAAUUACACAUGUGCUAAACAUACCAAGGGACGAGAAUAAAUACUUACAUGUACAAUUCCAAGCCACAAGUUAAGAAUUAUCUAUUUUGUUGCAAGGCAGAACUUCGUGCUAUUAAAAAUAAAAUGUGUGUUUUAAUUUCUGACGUGUAACAUCCAAAGUUUCUCAUGGUUAUUCUUAGCCAUGGCAGAAUUGCCAUCUUUCGGCCACUUUUGACACACCAGAUUAUUCCACAACAACCCAAAAUCCAAUGCAGACCCCUCCCUCCCCUCUGUUCCUUUUACCCUUUGCAAUACAAAUGCUGUGGGGAAGGACUGCCUGUUUCACAAGGGGCUUGGUAUCACAGAAAGCUGGUUGUUGAUCUCUGGAUGCCUGCAGGCCAGCAAUCUGUGCUACAAGUUACCCCUCUUAAAAAAAAAAAAAAAAUAAGACAAGUGGAUAAAACUGAUACAAGCAUCUGUAACAAGCUAAUUGGACCCUUGUGGGCAACAUAGCAGAUACAAAAUUAAAACAAACAAACAUCUCAUUGUACAACUGUACUUUCAGGACCAUUAUCACAAAGGGAUCCUUCUGGAUUUUUUAGUUUUGUUUUGUUUAAAAGGACCUAAUUAUGGCCAGAGCUGGAGUAUCACAAGUCUGUUUUCAUCUAUAAAGAAAGGAUAUUUUGCCUCUGAACCUGAGAAAUUGUUAGAAGUUGGUAAUUAGUAUGACUUGUUAAUAGAGUUUGGCUGUGAUUAAGCUGUGAUUGAGUGUGAGUUUGGUUCUUGUCAAUGUGAAUGCCUGUAAGGUUGAGAGAUGUUUAAUGAGACACCUGUUGUCAGCAGCACCCGGUGGGCUUUGUCGCGCCUGAUUGGAAUUUGUACUGCAGAGCAGGAGUGGCACAGCGCUGAAGUGCGGCAGCACAUGGGCACCUGGCGGAGCACGAAGCGGCCCAAGUGUAAAGGAGGGUCAGACCCAUGCGGUACAGCUGCCCAGCUGCAAAGGCUGCCCCUCAGUGAGAGCAGGCCUGCCUGCCUCCUGUAGCACACCUUUCCAGCCUUCAGAAAGCUGUUGUUGAGCACCCUGGGGACAGGCUGUGCCCAGCAGGUCAGGUGAUGCUCUGCAAGCCGUCAGCUGGUCUAGUCCCAGCCAUGGUGUUUGAUAAGAGAAAUCCUCCUUGUCUAUGCAAUUACAUCUGGCCUGGGGAGUGCAACAGGCAAAAACUGUUGACAUCUUAAUUUAUCCCCUAUGGGGCUUUGACCUGUGCCACAAUGUGAUGAUGGUGAGUCCUUGGGAGAUACAGCCAGGCAGACUUAAGGCCUCCCAGGUUCUUGGGUAGCCAGCAGCACCACGGCUCUUCAGAAUGUGACCCCGAUGGAGACGGGCUCUGCUGAGCUCAGCCCUGAUCCGUCCCUUCAUCUGGGCAUCAUCCUCAAGCAAAAAUGUCCCACUGAACAACCUCCUUGGCUAGCAAGAAAGUUUCAUUCAGAGACUGUGUUUUUGUCUCAGCAGCCAGCACAAUUUGCCACGACUGCACGCAGCCACUCUUCGCUCCAAAAUCCAGGCCUGAUGCUAACUGUGUAUUUGGGCUGCAUAUAUGAAAUAUUACUUCCCCCAAAACAUCUAUUAAACAUUUUCAAGUGGCUGCAAUUUAAAACAUACCUCAGUUUUACAUGCCAAAGGACAAGCUGGAAUCAAUCAAGCUGGCCACUUUCAGAGUCUUUUAAUACCCGAGGAAUACGUUAGCUAGGAACAAGAGCAGCUACAUUUCAGCUCAUGCAGCGUCCCUGAGGAAUGAGCCGUUGGCUUUGUGAUGAAUCUGAGCAACCACUGGAUGGCAUUGCUCUACACGAAUGUACCUGCGAGAACACGCAGCUGAGUGCGAGCACGCUGCUUCGCCAAGAUUAAUUCAGACCCGAGAGGCUCAGGCCACUGUGACCUUACCAAGCCUUUAAAUAACAGUCAGACUUCUCUUGGCUAUCCAGCUGUGGGCUCCAGGCACAGACUUUGGUCAGAGCAGACUUCCCAAAGCACACUUACUACUAGGCUGGGUGUAUUUUUCUUUCAUUUUAUGUUAGAUCAAAUAUUCAGCCAGUUUUUGAUGGCCUUCAUUCUUACGAGAUGGGAAAAAGAAUCAUUUGUAAUUUGUGAUCGGAUCAGCCUAACACAGGGCACACACACCUGGCUAGCAAGUUAGGACUUCACAAAAGCCCUACUCCUGCAGCCGCUCUGGCCAGCCAGCGCCACCUCCCAGGGCACGGGGCUCACCCUGGUGAGGCGCAGCUAAACCCGUUUAUCCAAGCAGGUUAGUCGUGUGUCAUGUGAAAAGCAGAACUGAAGAGAAAAAAAAAAAAAAGAAAAAAAAAAAAAAAAAAACACAGGGUGUCAGGCAUGUUCUGCUUUCAUGUGGCUCUCGAGUUUUAUCCCAAGUGCAGUGCCUGUCCGUGUCACAGUAGCCUCUCAGCAUGCACAGUACAACUCUGCCUUCUGCUACAUCACUUAUUGAUAAGGAGUCAGCUGGUGGCCAACUAACCUGAUGUUCCUAUUUUCCCCUGGAGGUCUGUGUUUCUUCCAUUAACAACACACUGUGUUGGCCUAGUUCUUCUAAUGACUACAUCUGGCCAAGCCUAUCCGAAAAUGUCAUUGGCCCAGUUCAUGCCCAGAAGAAAUCCACUGAUGGCUCUGGAGAAGCAGCAGGAUAUUUGGAAUUGCGGCCCUGCAGAAGGUGUGUCGGAAGGGGGAUAAUGCAGUACUUGUGAGAGUCAAGUCUGAAGGCAGUUGACAGCCAUACUCAGCACAUCUAUCUUCAACUUAGGAAGUAACAUCAUCAAAUUCCUGAAAAUACUCCUGUGGAGGUUCCAGCUCUUGGGUAGCAAAUCUUAAGACUGCCUUGUUUGUACUCGUUAUCUUUUCCUGACUCUGCGCAAGUAAGUCAUGAGCCCUGAGAUUUGUAGACCACGGUCUGAAAAAAGAACUACUAAUAAUAAUUUGUGCAAGCCAAAGUUCUGAAGUUGACAGAAGAAUUACUGAAAAAAUUCCCUGGUUUCUGACCAUACGGUCUUUAAAUCCAUGAAGAUAUGUUGGGACUGUAGUCUAGAGGAGCUAAACUGAGCAUAUAUUGGAUAACCUUUUCCUUUAAUAGUUUAUUUCUGGGUUGGGAAAAAUACUGUGGUAUUUUUAUACUUGAAAAUGCUCGAUUUUUUUUGUAUGUGUGUGAUCAUAUUCAAAGCCUGAGCACACACCAGCUGGUAGGAUUCUACAUCACAACCCAUACCAUGCCCAUUACAGCAUAAGCCUGUUAAAAAAGGAAGGAAGAAAUACAAAUAUUUCAGGCUAUUCUUCUAUGCCAAUUUCCAAUAUUUGCUUCCCUCCUUCCAUGAAGCACCAGCAUGGAGCAGAGCAGGUUUAACACGUUUACAUCACACAAGAUGCUCGUCUUUGUAGGAAACCUAUAGUCUGCUGGCCAAGAGGUGACACUAACAAAACACACUGUGCUGUAACUAAUUAAGAGAGGGGUGGGUUUUUCCCCCAUCUUCAGAACUAAUCUGCACAAAUGUUGCUGCACUGAGUACAUGACAAUAAACAAAUCCCAGUUCAAGUUUCCCGGCACGCUCUGUACUGUUUGGGCAUAUGCUGAAUCGCACUUGGACUUUAAUAAAGAACUGAUGGUUCCACUUGCACAGGGAGCUGUCACACUGACGUGCGAACCUCUGAGGUUGCCUCUCGAUAACUCCGAAGUGUUCUUUUAUCUGUUUGUCUCUUGCGCUGCUAAUUGAGAAUUGUGUGAAAAUCUGUGUUCAGAUGUUUACUCAGGAAUGGGCUCAUCAGACACUUCUGGCCUGAACAAAGAAGAAACAGUCAUUUAUAGCACGAGCUGAUAAAGUUCCUCAUUGUUUUAAUUCUGCAUCAGCAUUUAAAGUGACCCUAAUCUGCUCUGAGCAAUCUGUGACUCAGCAUGUGUUAUAACCAUAUCCUCAGCAGGAGAGGCAACGUGGAUGCACACGGAGAGGGGUGCAGAGGCUCUGCAGGCAGGUAUCAUCACUUCACAAAGUGCUCUCUGCAGGUACAACUUCAGGACCUUUCAGAUCACAGCAGGGCAGGGACAGAGACGUGGGCUUGACCCCCAUGGCACCAUGCCCUGCCAAAGCAGUGGAAACCACACAGCAGGUCUAAGAGGCUGUAAUUACUGUAGGACGUAGGAGAUAAGAGCAGUGACGCGGGGUCACACCAUCCAGCCCAGUGAUUUCAGACGUCCAAUGACGAGUAUGGGGACAGAGCUGGUACGGGAGAGUAUUUUGUGGCACACACUCCCAGAGGCUUUCUAAACCAAAGGAUGCAAGUAGAUCAAGUGUUAACACCCUCCAACUUCCAGCUGGAGUCUCCUUAAGCCUCUUAUUCUACCUACCCUGAAACCACCAAAGGUUAUCAUGCGGCUUGGGAGGAAAGCAGACGUGCUCCUAGUCUGUUCCGCAGAGCAUAAGCCUCUGCAAUCACAGGAGAAGAUCCAGGGUAAAACCUUAAACUCAAAACUCCCUUUAGAGGCAUGCAGCUCUUCACGACAUUCACAUCACCACGGAGUCAUCUCAGAAAUUCACACAGGUCAGACAGAGAGGUGACUCCCUGCUCAGAGUCAACUCCUGCUUUGCAAGCUCCAAGAAGAUCAAUUUGGGCAUUUCUCCCCAUGCCCUGUAGCUUGUACAACCGUCCAGGUUCUUCAUUGCUGUUGCAUUUACUUUGUCAUCUAUUACUGAAGUGAGACAAGGAACACAGGAGUGAUUCAGCAGACCGCUAGGGAGCAAAAAGAAAGGAGGAACUGUUGACGUUCUUGCUGAGACAGCUUUAAAAUUGUUUGUAUGUGUUUGUGUGUAACUGGACAGAGGGAACGAGCGUCCUGUAGGUGAGCAGCUGUCAAGAAAAGGCCUCCAUUACUGCUGAGAUGUCAGGCCAGUGGUUGUGGCACAGAUGUGCUGGAGCUACUCUGAGUUUCUGCACAGAUGUUGCUUGCCAGCACCAGUUCAGAGCCAGCUGCUGUGGAUGCCUGGAUACGGGGCUUGGGUUUCCUACAGAAAUUCUCAGAGGCUAAAUGGCAAAGGUCCUCUGGUUCAGAUGGAAACCCUGGUGCUCUGUCCAGACACAAGGAGUCUGUUUUAGAAAGCAGAUUAAUGCUGUAUGCAAGGAUUUCUGAGCCAGCAAGUUGGGCUGUGCUUCAUACUGCAAUCAAAGAAAUUAGAGGCAGCAAAAGGUUACAUCAUCCAGGUUUUAAUCCAGAGAUACACGUACUAAAAAAUGUGGCACAUGGUUAAAUGCUUUGCUAGGUCAGAGACCUAAUUUGCUCCCUGUCAGUAGGGCUGUUCUCUAUCAUGGACAUUGUUUGGGCUAAUUAGACUGUGCUCCUGGCCAUCGCAAGAACAAAACCCAAGGCAUGAAUCCUCUGGCACUUCUAAGUGCUGUCAGCGUUUUGCAGAUAACAACAAAUAAUAAUAACAACCUUUGUGUUUGAGGUCUGUGCUCGGGGUGGUUUCAGGGGUGAUCAGAUCUGGCAGGAGGAUUUCCAAGCCAAUCAGGACAGCCCCAGCCCAGUGUGAAAGAUGCCCCAGAUACAAUCCUGAAGGCAGAGUUAUUUUUGUGCCCUUUUUUACCUCCCUUCUGCAUCCGAUUUCUAACUGUUCUCGUGGCUCAUCCCUCCCCAGUUCUAAGACUUUAAAUGCUAAACUGCAUCUUGGCUAGGUCUGAUUUAGGGCUUAUGAAGUACAUUUGCUAUUGCAUGGCUAAUUUGCAUACAAAAUUAACUUCCAUGCACCUACACACAGAGACUGACAGUUAUUAACAAGCUCUCCUGUUCCUGGAUUCACCUACUCGUUGCAGCUGGUUUGUAAACUUGGAAGAAAGGGCCCUUCCUGCACCGUGUGUGCGCAGAGCCCAGUCUUCUUCCCUCAUCAGCACACUGAGGCACCGCUGCAAUGCAAACAACAUUCAUAAUGCCAUAAUGCUUGCUACACGUGCAAAUUUGACACAUAAUUGGGCACAUAUUUUGUGCAUGAAAUGCCACAGUCGGCUUCAAGACGUGCUCCCUCAACAUGGUCUCUGCUUUGCUUUCCAAGAGCUAGAUUCAUUUUUUAACCCAGCUGAAGCCUUCCUAUUCCAUCAUGUAAUAAAGACACUGAGGACAAUCCUGGGUUAAAGACCUGGUUUUUAAAAAUUAAGGUUUGUCUGCC
Oxyura jamaicensis (ruddy duck) is the source of this 8473-nucleotide long non-coding RNA. RefSeq lists it as uncharacterized. NCBI's taxonomy places the organism in Eukaryota, Metazoa, Chordata, Aves, Anseriformes, Anatidae. The record is from RefSeq and is a predicted model, not a curated record. The transcript has 4 exons.